Molecule: transfer RNA, 67 nt
Filed under: Palinurellus wieneckii
Lineage: Eukaryota; Metazoa; Arthropoda; Malacostraca; Decapoda; Synaxidae
Description: tRNA-Leu
Source: RNAcentral
UCUAAAAUGGCAGAAAGAUGCGCAGGAUUUAAGCUCCUGUUAGGAAGUGAAUCUUCUUUUAGGACCA